GAGUGUAAUAUAUAUAGGGCCUCGGCCGCGCGAACAACCAGUCGUUUGUUGAAGUGGAUUCAAAAAGCCGAGAAGGUUUCGAAAAACAUCGCUAGAAGUGUCUUAUAUACGUACACGCGCAGACACCUAACAACAAUAAACAAAUAACAACCAUCGUUACUCAGCAAAGCCAACUACAUUGCCGCAGUUCAAUCUUCAAGCUCUACUCUGGCGCGUUAUAAUUAUUGCGACAUUCACAAUAAAGUAUAACAAUUUGCUUAUACAAGAGAGAAAAGCGAAGAGCGUAUAAUACAGCGACGCGUGAAUUUGUAUUCCCCGAGCAAUUUUUCACGAGGAAAACAAAUCAUGAAUAAUUCAAGUGAACGGCCGCGCUAUAUUACGUUAAUCCCGGUCGCGCGUCAGGGAAUUUUCGCGAUUCGGCCGGCGGCGGAGCAGUUUGCGCGCUCGAUAUUUUUUUUCCGCGGAUGACCCUGACCAAGCCUCUACCCCCGAAACCUGCGCUCCUGUGAUCGAUCCGCCGCCGUCUGUAUAUAACACAUGUAUACCUAUAAUAUCACACCGGAGAGUGGAAACGAGGGCCGUGCGAGUGCGUUAUUAUUAAAUACUCGCUCGUCGGGAUCUAUCCCACCGUGUCGAGUGCGCGAAAAAGUUUUUCCAUAGUGAAAACAGAGCUUUAUCAGAGUUGAUGUUAUAAUACAAAGAACGUGUUUUAUUGUUUUGCAGUAAGAACUAUUUGUAUAUUAUAUUGUAUUACUAUUUCUGCUCGCGUUGUAUAGAUAAUAGUUGUUGAUGUUACAAGAGUAAUAAUAGGCUACAGCCUGCAGUAUUAUGCUUUCAGAGUAAACCAUAAACGUGUAUAACGUUACGUCAAAGAAGGGGCUAGAUGCACCUAUUUGUAUGUUAUAGCGCAAAAAGAGGGGAAUUCCUACAAUGAGUCAAAACGACGAAAAAACCCGCUUUGGUAUACUAUAUGUUUGCUACAUAAUCAUUUCUACAUUAAAAAAAAUUAAUAGUCUCUGUUUACAGCUCCUCUCGCUAGAGGAUUCCUUCAGCUGAUGUUUAUGCUCGUUUUGAUGCUACACAAAACUCACGUUUGGAGUUUCACUCUACUGCAAAAUAACUUUGUUUAUACCAAUAUCUCCCUGAAUCAGCCGAGUCGGUAGUGCACCUUAUACUCCAACAGCUGCUUUGCCGUGUAACAAAAUUAGUUCCGCAGACAGCACCGCUCCAUCGCAAAGUCGAAUAAAAGAAAAAAAAACAGAAGUAGGAGGAGGAAGAAAACACGUGUUCGAUAUACCUACGUAUACGCAAUGAAAUCGAUAUCUCGCGAGUGACCACGACGGCGUCGACGAUGACGACGAAGACGACGACGAGGCGAAUCACACAGGGUCAGGGUUGCGAGCCUCGAUGAAGGCCUCGGCCACGUUCCGAUGUGUAAUUGGCGCGCACGAGGCGCAUAUGCAGCAGCAGCAGAACUACCGACUGUAUACGUCGAUUUUUUUUUCAUACACGGCCAGAGCGACUGAUUUAUGCAUGCGAUGAAUUCGCUCUGCUAUAAAGCGCGCGUAUAUCUGUAUCUGGCGCUAUAUGGAUAGUGUAUUGACAUACGCGUGCGCGUAUAGUACACGCGUCGGCGGGGUAAAAAUCGAUUCGAAACCGAUCUCGCGGAUUAAUAAAAUUGCGAAUAAGCUCGUCCUAAAAAUAUGAAUAUGGAUUUAACGGGUCCGCCGGCCUUUGGAGAGCAUAUUUCAUAUUGUGGCAGCGGGUAUAAAAUCGAUGCGCCGUGACGUCACGCGCCUCGCUAAAGAGAGCGAGAGAGGGAGGCAAAUCCGUCAACGUCACAUGACGUCACGCGAGAUCCUUAUACAUACUUGGUGAAUUUUAAAGAAUCGGUUUUUCAUUUAAAGAGGAGAUGAGAGUCAUCAAACGGAAUAAAAAUCGCGAUAGUCGCAUUAUAAGCUUGGAUCGCCGCACUCGCAACUGCGGUAAUGGGAUUGAUUGGACACAAUUGUAUACCUGAUGUAUUUUUCCUAAAUUAUAUAUAAUCGAUUGCCCUUCGCA
Nasonia vitripennis (jewel wasp) is the source of this 2061-nucleotide long non-coding RNA. RefSeq lists it as uncharacterized. NCBI's taxonomy places the organism in Eukaryota, Metazoa, Arthropoda, Insecta, Hymenoptera, Pteromalidae. The record is from RefSeq and is a predicted model, not a curated record. The transcript has 2 exons.